Molecule: ribosomal RNA, 266 nt
Filed under: uncultured bacterium
Lineage: Bacteria
Description: partial 16S ribosomal RNA
Rfam family: Bacterial small subunit ribosomal RNA
Source: RNAcentral
CCGGCGACCGGCGGACGGGGUGCGUAACGCGUAUGUAACCUACCUUUGACAGGGGGAUAACAUCGAGAAAUUGGUACUAAUACCCCAUAACAUCACCGGAGGCAUCUUCGGUGGUUGAAAACUCAGGUGGUCAGAGAUGGACAUGCGUUGUAUUAGCUAGUUGGUGAGGUAACGGCUCACCAAGGCGACGAUACAUAGGGGGACUGAGAGGUCAACCCCCCACACUGGUACUGAGACACGGACCAGACUCCUACGGGAGGCAGCAG